Podarcis lilfordi (Lilford's wall lizard) is the source of this 72-nucleotide non-coding RNA. The record is from the annotation of a GenBank genome assembly. Lineage: Eukaryota; Metazoa; Chordata; Lepidosauria; Squamata; Lacertidae.
GCACCCGUCGCUGAGUGGCUGAGCAUCUGCUUGGCGUGCAGAAGGUCCUGGUUCAAGAUCCAAGCGUCUGCA